Stomoxys calcitrans (stable fly) is the source of this 1349-nucleotide long non-coding RNA. RefSeq lists it as uncharacterized. The transcript has 2 exons. NCBI's taxonomy places the organism in Eukaryota, Metazoa, Arthropoda, Insecta, Diptera, Muscidae. The record is from RefSeq and is a predicted model, not a curated record.
CCGAGUUUGGAUUGCUUUGGUUGGAGCACAAGAAAACUAAAAACAGUAUGCCGUCCAUAAAAUCGCGUCUCAAUCCCAAUCCUUCUGAUCAAGAUGACUUUUCCUGUCGCCUGUGCUCCGGAAACCACGGUCUACGCAAAUGCAAAGCAUUCCGGAAGAAAGAUGUAAAGGAACGUAUGCAACUGGUUAUCACCCAUAGCUACUGUCCAAACUGUUUAGCACAUAAACAUUCCUCCAAUGCGUGCUUCUAAACCAAAGGAUGUUAUCGUUGUGGAGGCAAUCACCACUCUUUGUUGCACAUCGAUCAACCAAAAACAAAUGCAAAGAAGACUAAGACUGUUAAACGAGAAAAUAUGACCCAUCGUUCGACAAACCAAAAUAUUAUGUCAGUUCCUCAACAGUCUGCCACCAUGGCAUCAAUUGUAGCACCGCAAUCCACUUUAUUGUUUCCAACGGCCAUUAUUCUUGUCAUUAACGGUAAUAAAAAUCAUCACGUACGAGCAGUUCUUGAUCCUUGCACAGCUAUCAGCAAAAUAUCUCGAAAAUUUUUUAAGGAGGUAGGACUACGUACCACAACUCUUGGUGAUGAAUCAAUUUGUGCAGUAUCCAUAGCCUCACGCCAAUCUCCACAGACUGCAUUCAACACCACUAUGAGGGUAAACAACCAUAUAUCGAUGGACACUCCUACCAGAUCACUAAAUGCCUUAAUGGCAACAAACUUUAAAAACAUCACCCUAGCUGACCCUCAAUUUUAUAAGUCGGGGCCGUUUUCCAUAGUUUUGGGAGCAGACUUGUAUGCUCGACUCAUUUUACCCGGAUUGUUGCCCAGUGAUGGAAAUCUUCCAGUAGCUAUGAAUACUGUAUUCGGAUGGGUCUUGUCCGGCUCCUGCAACAACUAAAUGAGAAAAUCUCCAAUAAUUACUUCUAAAUGAAUUAAACCAAAUGUAUUAAGCUAUGUUGUAUAUAUUCUAGUUUUAAGUUAAAACUGAAUUCCAGAUUAACUUUUACUCCAAAAAUUUUUUGAAUUACUAAUUGGAAUUUUUACGAAAUAGUUAUCAAGAAAUCAUAUGUAUUUUUACAAUUUUCAAAUUUUUAAAUUUUUGCAAUACUGCAACGUGGGCCGGUGAUGUUCAUGCCACACAACUCCCACCCCUACAUGCAAUGCCACAUCAUUAUCACGCUACGUAUGCUUCACGUAUACUAAUUAUCUUAACUCACUUAACUACAUAUGUCAUUACAUUAGUACUAAAAAAAAUAUUGGUAUGCAUUUUGAUAGAACAUGGUUCUACCGUUUUUCCGUUUGAACAACUCAGACAAUAAACUUGCAAACGUGGUCUUGAGCAUCUUAA